RNAcentral lists this long non-coding RNA (829 nucleotides) under Homo sapiens (human). Its description in RNAcentral is "uncharacterized LOC102724087, transcript variant 9 (LOC102724087)". The record is from RNAcentral. Lineage: Eukaryota; Metazoa; Chordata; Mammalia; Primates; Hominidae.
GGGAGUCCGCUGUCCUCACAGCAAGAAACGGAAGGAGGUUCCCUCAGGGCUCUUUUGCCUCCCGGAAGUACAAGGCGCCUCCAUCUUCACAGCAUGAAGGAAGCCGAGGAGAUGCCAUGUGAGGGUGCAGCGAGGAGUUGGGCUGUCUAAAAGCAAAGAAAGAGAUUGCAUCAGACACCGCAUCUGCUGACACCUUGUUCUUGGACUUCCAGCUUCCAAAACCGCGAGAAAUAAAUGUCUGUGUCUAAACCCCAACCCUACCACCUCAACUGCCGUGUGUGGUGUUUUGUGAUGGCAGCCCCAGCUGACUGAGACACCUGGUUAGACCGGAAUAAGCAGGCUGCAAUCGGUAGCAGUCACCAUUGAACAUCCUUGAAGCAAUUCUUCCAAAAUUACCUUGCAUCAAAGACUGCACAAGAACUGCUCUAAGCGGAAGGACUGAUGUCGGCAACCAGGGUUCCACCAGGGGCUGCAGACAGCCCUUGACCUUCAGGUGGGAAGGUGUCACUGAGUUCAGACCCUCUGGCAAUCCCUAGCUAUCAACAUUUUGAUAAGAAAAUAAGUGGAAAGUCUGCAAGAAGAACAUUGUGUGAGAAAUAUCAAGUGAGAGUGGAAGAGUCUGCGGAGGGCCUCCCUGGGGCUCACCUGUGCUUUUGCCUGAGCUUCACCGUGUCAAGCACUUUUUCCCUCUGGAGGAAGCAGCUUUCACCUUGGAAGAAUCUUGACCUUGCCAUUCAAAGUCACCAGACAGGGAAUCUGCCAGUGCCUUGAUCUUAGACUUCCCAGCUUCUGUAACUGUGAGCAAUAAAUGUAUGCUGCUUAUAAACUA